RNAcentral lists this ribosomal RNA (464 nucleotides) under Vreelandella stevensii. Its description in RNAcentral is "partial 16S ribosomal RNA". It matches the Rfam family "Bacterial small subunit ribosomal RNA", at positions 339 to 795 of the family's 1533-position model. The record is from RNAcentral. Lineage: Bacteria; Pseudomonadati; Pseudomonadota; Gammaproteobacteria; Oceanospirillales; Halomonadaceae.
CUACGGGAGGCUGCAGUGGGGAAUAUUGGACAAUGGGGGGAACCCUGAUCCAGCCAUGCCGCGUGUGUGGAGAAGGCCCUCGGGUUGUAAAGCACUUUCAGUGAGGAAGAACGCCUGGUGGUUAAUACCCAUCAGGAAAGACAUCACUCACAGAAGAAGCACCGGCUAACUCCGUGCCAGCAGCCGCGGUAAUACGGAGGGUGCGAGCGUUAAUCGGAAUUACUGGGCGUAAAGCGCGCGUAGGUGGCUUGAUAAGCCGGUUGUGAAAGCCCCGGGCUCAACCUGGGAACGGCAUCCGGAACUGUCAAGCUAGAGUGCAGGAGAGGAAGGUAGAAUUCCCGGUGUAGUGGUGAAAUGCGUAGAGAUCGGGAGGAAUACCAGUGGCGAAGGCGGCCUUCUGGACUGACACUGACACUGAGGUGCGAAAGCGUGGGUAGCAAACGGGAUUAGAUACCCCAGUAGUC